GGGGUGCAAGCUACAACAGAUUAACCCCUUAAGGACCAAACUGGAAUAAAAGGGAAUCUUAACAUGUCGCACAUCUCGUGUCCUUAAGGGGUUAAAGGACCACUAUAGGCACCCAGACCACUUUAGCUCAAUGCAGUGGUCUGGGUGCCAGGUCCAUCUAGGGUUAACCCUGUCUGCUGUAAACAUAGUUUCAGAUAAAACUAGACAGCCACUAGAGGCGCUUCCGCGCUUCUC
This is a non-coding RNA of Pelobates cultripes (western spadefoot toad), 234 nucleotides long. NCBI's taxonomy places the organism in Eukaryota, Metazoa, Chordata, Amphibia, Anura, Pelobatidae. The record is from the annotation of a GenBank genome assembly.